This 630-nucleotide ribosomal RNA is filed under the name Vibrio sp. Its description in RNAcentral is "bacterial SSU rRNA". The record is from RNAcentral. Lineage: Bacteria; Pseudomonadati; Pseudomonadota; Gammaproteobacteria; Vibrionales; Vibrionaceae.
UUAUCUGAACCUUCGGGGRACGAUAACGGCGUCGAGCGGCGGACGGGUGAGUAAUGCCUAGGAAAUUGCCCUGAUGUGGGGGAUAACCAUUGGAAACGAUGGCUAAUACCGCAUGAUGCCUACGGGCCAAAGAGGGGGACCUUUGGGCCUCUCGCGUCAGGAUAUGCCUAGGUGGGAUUAGCUAGUUGGUGAGGUAAGGGCUCACCAAGGCGACGAUCCCUAGCUGGUCUGAGAGGAUGAUCAGCCACACUGGAACUGAGACACGGUCCAGACUCCUACGGGAGGCAGCAGUGGGGAAUAUUGCACAAUGGGCGCAAGCCUGAUGCAGCCAUGCCGCGUGUGUGAAGAAGGCCUUCGGGUUGUAAAGCACUUUCAGUCGUGAGGAAGGUAGUGUAGUUAAUAGCUGCAUUAUUUGACGUUAGCGACAGAAGAAGCACCGGCUAACUCCGUGCCAGCAGCCGCGGUAAUACGGAGGGUGCGAGCGUUAAUCGGAAUUACUGGGCGUAAAGCGCAUGCAGGUGGUUUGUUAAGUCAGAUGUGAAAGCCCGGGGCUCAACCUCGGAAUAGCAUUUGAAACUGGCAGACUAGAGUACUGUAGAGGGGGGUAGAAUUUCAGGUGUAGCGGUGAAA